GACGAACGCUGGCGGCGUGCUUAACACAUGCAAGUCGAACGGAAAGGCCCUGCUUUUGUGGGGUGCUCGAGUGGCGAACGGGUGAGUAACACGUGAGUAACCUGCCCUUGACUUUGGGAUAACUUCAGGAAACUGGGGCUAAUACCGGAUAGGAGCUCCUGCUGCAUGGUGGGGGUUGGAAAGUUUCGGCGGUUGGGGAUGGACUCGCGGCUUAUCAGCUUGUUGGUGGGGUAGUGGCUUACCAAGGCUUUGACGGGUAGCCGGCCUGAGAGGGUGACCGGGGACAGGGGGAGAGAGGUGCGGCGAAGUAGGCGACGGGAGGCAGUAGGGGGGAGUGGUGCAGAAUGAGCUGGAGUCUGAGGCCACUGCGUCGGGAGCGGAAGAAUGGGCGACGGGGUGAGAAAAAAAGUCGACGGUAACAAACCGGGAGUGACGGUAGUUAAUAAAAAAGACACGGCUAACUACGUG
RNAcentral lists this ribosomal RNA (468 nucleotides) under uncultured bacterium. Its description in RNAcentral is "partial 16S ribosomal RNA". It matches the Rfam family "Bacterial small subunit ribosomal RNA", at positions 28 to 507 of the family's 1533-position model. The record is from RNAcentral.